UGGGGAAUUUUGGACAAUGGGCGAAAGCCUGAUCCAGCAAUGCCGCGUGUGUGAAGAAGGCCUUCGGGUUGUAAAGCACUUUUGUCCGGAAAGAAAUCCUUGGCUCUAAUACAGUCGGGGGAUGACGGUACCGGAAGAAUAAGCACCGGCUAACUACGUGCCAGCAGCCGCGGUAAUACGUAGGGUGCAAGCGUUAAUCGGAAUUACUGGGCGUAAAGCGUGCGCAGGCGGUUUGCUAAGACCGAUGUGAAAUCCCCGGGCUCAACCUGGGAACUGCAUUGGUGACUGGCAGGCUAGAGUAUGGCAGAGGGGGGUAGAAUUCCACGUGUAGCAGUGAAAUGCGUAGAGAUGUGGAGGAAUACCGAUGGCGAAGGCAGCCCCCUGGGCCAAUACUGACGCUCAUGCACGAAAGCGUGGGGAGCAAACAGGAUUAGAUACCCUGGUAGUCCACGCCCUAAACGAUGUCAACUAGUUGUUGGGGAUUCAUUUCCUUAGUAACGUAGCUAACGCGUGAAGUUGACCGCCUGGGGAGUACGGUCACAAGAUUAAAACUUAAUGAAUUGACGGGGUCAUAGCUGUUUCCU
RNAcentral lists this ribosomal RNA (584 nucleotides) under uncultured bacterium. RNAcentral describes it as "partial 16S ribosomal RNA". It matches the Rfam family "Bacterial small subunit ribosomal RNA", at positions 355 to 1375 of the family's 1533-position model. The record is from RNAcentral.